GAGAUGGGCUGGCAGAGACGCUCUGCUGCCACUUGGCAGAAGGACCCCGUGGUAGGAAAGCGAGACCCGAUUAAGCCUUGCCAGGUACUGACUCAUUCCACCUAUGUGGAAGGGUGUGCAACCUUGAAAAGAACAUUUGGAUUAAAAAUAGUGGGUGAACUUGUGGUUCUAAUGCUAACGCCCUUUUUAAUUCAUGGAGUACAGUACAGUAUACUAUAUUUCUAGGGUUUAACCGCCUUACUUAAGUGUCCCAGCCAGUUUUUAACACGUGCUUUUUCUGCUAAUUUACAGAGUUCAAGUGGAGUCACACUUACAUUUUGAACUUCAUUUCUAAUGCAGACACUUAAAACAGCUCUAUUCACCUCCCAAAAAGGUAAUGCGGAUUCCUCCAGUAAAGGAGCAUAUGAGUAUUUAUUGAAUUCUUGUGCUUGUCAAAAACCACAACAUUAUCUGUGUUUUCACUGAAGGAAAAGCACUGCCAAAAAGCGGGGGGCCUGGGGAGAUGGGGAGGCAAAGGAGGAUUGGGAAGCAAAUACUUAACCCUGUACAUACCGGGAUUUUCAUCCACCGGUGUGAAAGUUUGUAGAAAAUAAGUGUUGGUGAGGAUAUGGAGGAACUGGAACCCUUGUGCAUUGCUUGUGGGCAUGCAAAAUGGUGUAGUUGCUUUGAAAAAGUUUGAUGAUUUCUCAGAAAAUGAAACACAGAGUUACCAUAUGAUCCACUGAAAGCAGACACUCAGUUACUGGUACAUCCAUGUUCACAGUAACAUUGUUUCCAAUAGCCAAAGGGUAGAAACAACCCAAGUAAAUGUAGAAAGGAAUGGAUAAACAAAAUGUGGUAUGUACAUGCAAUGGAGUAUUUAGUCAACCUUAAGGAGUCAGUAAUACCUGCUACAACAUAGGAGAAUCUUGAAAACAUGUUAAGUGAAAUAAGCCAGACACAAAGACAAAUACUGUAUGAUUCCACCGAUAUGAGGAACUUAGUCAAGUUCAUAGAGACAAAAAGUGAAACAGAGUUUACCAGGGUCCAGGGAGAGGAGAGAAUGGGGAGUUACUAUUUAAUAGGUACAGAAUUUGUUUGGGAUGAUGGAAACGUCCUGGAAAUGUGAUGGUUGUACAACAUUAUGAAUGUAAGUAACGCCUCUGAAUUACACACUUAAAAAUGGUGUAUGGACUGUAUAUUUCACCAUACACACACACACACACACACACAGAACUCAUCAAAUACAAUCUAUAUUUGCAACCAAUCAUUGGAUAACUUUAAUUCCAGCAUUUGGGUUGUACAAACAUAAUUUGUGAAAACCUUUUCAAGUUUUGAUUUGAGAACUAAAUGAGAGAAAUUCAUGUUCAAAGCUUACAAGAUGCUGUUUUUCAGUGUAUGUGUGUUUGUUUUAAAUUCUGAAUACACUAGAUAGUAUGUGCAGGAUGAAUAUAGGUAACGAUGUUUAAAUGUUAGAAUUCCUAAACACUCAACUACAUACAUUGUAUUAUACACACUGGAGACAACCAAAUCUAUUCUCGUUAUGUAGUUGGAAAUAAACUAUUUUGAUAUCUUACAUUUGACCUAUCAAUCAACAUCAUUAGAAAAACCAUAAUUUCAGGGCACCUGGGUGGCUCAGUUGGUUAAGUGUCUGACUCUUGGUUUCAGCUCAGGUCAUGAUCCCAUGGUCAUGAGAUCAAGCCCCACAUCAGGCCCUGGGCUGAGUGUGGAGCCUGCUUAAGAUCCUCUCUUUCCCUCUGCCCUUCUUCCCUGCUCACACUCAAAAUAAAUAAACUUAAAAAAAUAAAGUGUUAAAAACAAACAAAAAAGCCCCACAAUUUCAAACUGGCUCUUUCUAAACAUACAGCCAAGACAAAUGGCAUCUUCCAUACUGUUAUUCGGAUGGAUUUUACCUUAGGGGUUUUUUUGGGAGGUGGGGAGGCUAAAUGCUCCCUGCGCAUAGUUCAUAUAUUUCAAAUACCAUUUUCUUAGCCAUUCGACAAGUAAGAAAAUGCUGAUUUAUUUUCUCCCCUUUUGUAUAUGGGAAAAUACAAGGUGUUCAAGCUGAGAUGGUAUGUAUACGAUGCCGAAACCUUCAUCAACUCCUCCAAAGCUUGUUUGCACUCUUCUGUUUGGACUGUUUUUCCAUGUGUGGCUUGUGAAAUCACAGGAGGAGUGACUAUUGCCCAGGUACGUGUUUAGCUGGCACAGCAGUGCUUUCCAGGUUGCCCACUAACCUUGUGAGUACAUGUGAAUAGAAUUAUUCUUUUUUCCACCAUCAAAAUGAGUGACCGUUAUUUAGAGCAACGAAUUCAUGUUAAGUUGUGUGUAAAGUUAAAUAAAUCUGCAAGUGAGACACUUGAGAUGUUAAAAGUAGUUUAUGGUGAAGAAGUAAUGUCGAGAGCAAGAGUUUUUGACUGGCACAAAAGGUUUAAAGAAGGCAGAGAUGAUAUCCAUGGUGAUGUGAAAAGUGGCUGUCCAGUUAUCCACAGAACACAGGAAAACAUUGAGAAGGUCAGAAAUCGGGUUGGCUCAGAUAGCUGAAAAGUGAAAUGUAGACUAAGAAACAAACUCAUGCUGAAAGAAAACUUGCACAUGAGGAAAGUUUCUAGGAGGAUUAUAUCUCAUUCUGUUGUGGUUCAGGACCCUGCUGAGGCCAAACGAUAACAGAGCUGCACAUGAACCUGACACUUGGGUAUAUAUUCAGGGCACAAUCCUACAUACAGUUUAGUUUCACUGGUCUUGGAGUAACUUGUAUCUGAAUCUCAAGUGAGCUGAGCUUUUUCAAACGUGUUCCGUUGGCUUUGUAGGUACAUGAUUUGAGCAGAGUCAAACCUGUGGAGUUGAGUGUGACAAAGGAGAGAGCGUGGAGCCUAGAGGUUUAUUGGGAACCUGGCCCUCUGUUACCGCAGUACCUAAAUUUCUACCUUGUCUUUUCAGGGUGAGCUCAUUUGAAUAAUCAGUAGGUUACCUACAGUCUGGGCAGUUAAACUUUCAACAAGGAGCUGGACAUCAGUGUUACUCUGUAUGGAAAUACUUCAUGUUAUUUUUUUAAUGUUUAUUUAUUUUUGAGGGAGAGAGUGUGAGCGGGACAAAGAGACAAUGGGGGGACAGAGGAUGCAAAGCGGGCUCUGCACUGACAGCAGUGAGCCCGAUGCGGGACUUGAAUUCACGAACCAUGAGAUCAUAAUCUUAGUUGAAGUCGGAUGCUCAACCACCUGAGCCUCCCAGGUGCCCCUUUGUGGUACUAUUUCAACAACGAUAAGAAAAGAAUGGCCAUCUUUAGGCAGAAAUAUUCAGACUUGUAAUAAUGGAAUUUUUGUGGUGGGAGAUUGAGGUCAGAUGUUGGAAACUGGAAUUCAAAUCUGUCAGCAAGAAUGAAACAGAAGAGGCUGUAGGAAUAGUGGGCAGUUUUAGUAAAAAUAUACUCUUCCCUUCCACUCCCCCCACCCCCAAAUCAGGACCUGAUUUUGGUCAAAAGCCCACAAAACUUUCUAUUCUUUAUGUAAUCUAAAUUUUAGUUUCAAAUGGAUUCUUAUAUAUAAACUGUUUGGGUCUGGAAUUUGGCAUGAAGGGGAGACAAAUAGAGUUCAAUUUUGUUCCUAACUUCUUUCACCAGGAGAACGAGAUUCCAUGCUUCGAGUUUUGAAAGGCAUGACUGCAAUUAGCAACGUGUGAAUAACAACAUACACAAUCUCUUCAUCAACAACAAGGAACUGCAUUCUGACCUUCACAUUGUCUACGUGUGCUACUGAGUGUGGGGUCAUAUCCUAAGCUUCAGCUCUAAUAAGCAUUCAUCACAGGGAAGGUACGAUCUUGGAUAUUCAGUUGGCUACAAAUAGCUUUAAGUACAUUUAUGGUCAAGUCAAAUGGUAGCUUUGCUGACACAUUAAUAGAAAAGCAUUGGUAAUUCAUGUCAGAAUGAGAUACAAAAUAAUAGGUGAAAAAUGAUUUCACAUAAAAGAAAUUUUGAUAAACCUAGAAAACAAUUUCAGUUAUUUUUGUCCAUUAACAUUAGCAUUUUAAAGAGCUACUUGAAUCACAUGUUGUUCCUUCCCAUAAGAAGAGAUUUUGAGUACAACAGGAUGAAUUUCUCAUUGAGAAACUUGUUUUUGCCCCAGUUUCCUUUCUAGUCUCCAGUAGGACACGGUCAUCAUUCAGUAUUGGUAUUGUAGCAACUUAGAUGUACCAAAUGGCAACAUAUAGGACUUAAGUCAGAGCCCCAUGGCAGUGACUCUGAAAAGACUAGUUUUAUUAGUUAUACUAUUAAGGGUUUUUUGUUGCUGUUUUAAAAGACUCCCAGAAAUCCAAAUUUACAUUUUGUGGAACAUGAGCCAAAACUACUUGAGGUUGUUAUGGAAAAAUGGUCUCAUUUUAAUGGUCUAUAUUACCUCUGGGACCCUGCUGGUCAAAGCUGUGUGGCCCACAAGGCAAAAAUUAGAAUGAUCUUUUUCAUAUUGUCUUAAUUUUUUAUUACUGACUUUGUUACAGCUUGAUCUUUGGAGGUGCUUUGUACUGUGUAAAUGAAAUUUACUGAAAAUGUACAUAAGUAACUGACGUCCCAAUAAAC
Molecule: long non-coding RNA, 4549 nt
Filed under: Lynx pardinus (Iberian lynx)
Lineage: Eukaryota; Metazoa; Chordata; Mammalia; Carnivora; Felidae
Source: RNAcentral